GACGAACGCUGGCGGCGUGCUUAACACAUGCAAGUCGAACGCUGAAGCACCAGCUUGCUGGUGUGGAUGAGUGGCGAACGGGUGAGUAAUACGUGAGUAACCUGCCCUUGACUCUGGGAUAAGCCCGGGAAACUUGGUCUAAUACUUGAUGCUACAUGUCACCGCAUGGUGGUGUGUGGAAAGGGUUUACUGGUCUUGGAUGGGCUCACGGCCUAUCAGCUUGUUGGUGAGGUAAUGGCUCACCACGGCGACGACGGGUAGCCGGCCUAAGAGGGUGACCGGCCACACUGGGACUGAGACACGGACCAGACUCCUACGGGAGGCAGCAGUGGGGAAUAUUGCACAAUGGGCGAAAGCCUGAUGCAGCGACGCCGCGGGAGGGAUGACGGCCUUCGGGUUGUAAACCUCUUUCAGCAGGGAAGAAGCCACAAGUGACGGUACCUGCAGAAGAAGCGCCGGCUAACUACGUG
Molecule: ribosomal RNA, 470 nt
Filed under: uncultured bacterium
Lineage: Bacteria
Description: partial 16S ribosomal RNA
Rfam family: Bacterial small subunit ribosomal RNA
Source: RNAcentral